Non-coding RNA from Pimephales promelas (fathead minnow), 503 nucleotides. The record is from RefSeq and is a predicted model, not a curated record. Lineage: Eukaryota; Metazoa; Chordata; Actinopteri; Cypriniformes; Leuciscidae.
UCCUGCCUUUACAUGGACACUCUCAUUGGGUAUAAUCCUGGGCCAGGUGAUCAUUCAACCCAUCACGUCACUGCUGACACUCCUCAAAGGAAUCCUGCUGGUUAUUACCGUGUCCGUGACAUUUGUUGUGGGUUCAGAAGUUCACCAAGAGACCACGAAUGACUUCACCCAAAUCGGGAAACCUUUUCUAAUGGGAACAGUAGCUCUCGGUGGGAUUGUCAACGUCAUGCCUUUUUCAUUUUCUGAAAUCUCCCAUGUUAAAACACAGGUCUUAUGGUUCAGAAGAGCUGUACUAGGGGACUUGCCACAUGCACACUCUUAAAUAUAUUAUGGUGUUGGGCAGUUUUAGAGAUUGUUCCCCAGAUGGCUGUGGAGACACUGCUGGAGGAGAAACUCUUAAAUAGGAGUACAGGACAAACAGAGGCGACUCAUCCAGUACACACAUUUAUCUACUCCAACAUCCCCCUCGAGGAGUGAGUGCAUACAUACACAUGAACAUACAA